AGUUAGAAUUUAUGGGUUUUUUUUUAAUUGUCCUAUUUGCAUUGCAAAUAUUUUUAUGCUCAUUUGAUAUUCAUGUUGCUCGCCACGUUUGUACGAGGUGUUUGGAAGUUCGGUUUCUUGGUUCAAAAUUCGCCCAAUACCUUUUCUAAAUUAGAAGAAUCGUUGCCAAGCAUGUUCCAGACAAAAACCCUUGUUACAGGAACCUUCUGGAACGAAAGUGAAUCGUAUGUGGUACUUGAGAGCCGGAAACGGCAAGCGAGUUCAAGCUGCGAAGUAGACUCGCAGUACUUUUGACUUGCUGGUGGUCUUAUCAGGCAAUGGAACAAAACAUGAAGACAGUGGAAAAGUGGAAGAUCAGUGACGGAGCAAAAUACAACUAUGGCAGGCAGGCUUGAAGUUUAUCAGGUGAAGAAUUAGAACAGAGAAAGAUCUAAGAUGGACCUAUAUACAUCUUCAGCAGGUCAGUUCAUGUUUUCCUAAAUUCUGAAUGGAGUUAUAAAGCUAGUCAUGUACUAUACACAAAACAGACAGGAGUAGCCAGUUUUGGCAAAUAACCUGUUCUUGCUAAUAAUUUCUUUGCCCAAUAAGAACAUUGCUUUUAGUUUGCGUUACGUUAUGCGGUAUGUUUUGCUGUACGUUUUGCGUUACCUAAGGAAAUUAUUACUAUGAAUAAUUUUGUUCAUCAAGAUGUCUUUUGUAUUUGUCGUCAGGCAGACAUCUAGCACGGAGACGGGUGACAUCGCUACAGUGAAAGAUCAGUGGUGGAGUUAAAGACAUCUACGAUGCAAGGUCAUUUGAUGUUUCACUUUACCUGGGAUAAAGUUCCAAAGAGUAGCUGGCCUUUUGUUUGUUUAUUUGUUAAAGUCAAAAUCCAUACUUUUGCUGCGAUUUUUUUUCUUUGGACUAGGAGAGCAAAUGUCGUUUAGUCACGUAAUGUUAGAAUGGUCGAACAUAAUUACAAAAUUUUCUGCAAAUAAACAAAACCUGAUUAGCUUGUCUAUAUUU
Molecule: long non-coding RNA, 1005 nt
Filed under: Orbicella faveolata
Lineage: Eukaryota; Metazoa; Cnidaria; Anthozoa; Scleractinia; Merulinidae
Description: uncharacterized LOC110068507
Source: RNAcentral